This 657-nucleotide ribosomal RNA is filed under the name uncultured fungus. RNAcentral's name for it is "eukaryotic LSU rRNA". It matches the Rfam family "Eukaryotic large subunit ribosomal RNA", at positions 24 to 662 of the family's 3401-position model. The record is from RNAcentral. Lineage: Eukaryota; Fungi.
CCCGCUGAACUUAAGCAUAUCAAUAAGCGGAGGAAAAGAAACUAACAAGGAUUCCCCUAGUAACUGCGAGUGAAGCGGGAAGAGCUCAAAUUUAAAAUCUGGCGUGCCUCUGGUCGUCCGAGUUGUAGUCUGGAGAAGUGUUUUCCGUGUUGGACCGUGUAUAAGUCUCUUGGAACAGGGCGUCAUAGAGGGUGAGAAUCCCGUCUUUGACACGGACUACCAAUGCUUUGUGAUGCGCUCUCAAAGAGUCGAGUUGUUUGGGAAUGCAGCUCAAAAUGGGUGGUAAAUUCCAUCUAAAGCUAAAUACAGGCGAGAGACCGAUAGCGAACAAGUACCGUGAGGGAAAGAUGAAAAGCACUUUGGAAAGAGAGUUAAACAGUACGUGAAAUUGCUGAAAGGGAAACGCUUGAAGUCAGUCAUGUCUGCCAGGACUCAGCCUUGCUUCUGCUUGGUGUACUUUCUGGCUGGAUGGGCCAACAUCGAUUUUGACCGUUGGAGAAAGGCUUUGGGAAUGUGGCACCUUUGGGUGUGUUAUAGCCCUUUGUUGUAUACAACGGUUGGGACCGAGGACUGCAGCACGCCUUUAUGGCCGGGGUUCGCCCACGUACGUGCUUAGGAUGUUGGCGUAAUGGCUUUAAGCGACCCGUCUUGAAACAC